GACGAACGCUGGCGGCGUGCCUAAUACAUGCAAGUCGAGCGGACGAAUCGAAAGCUUGCUUUUGAUUCGUUAGCGGCGGACGGGUGAGUAACACGUGGGCAACCUGCCCUGUAGACGGGGAUAACACCGAGAAAUCGGUGCUAAUACCGGAUAACACGAAAUGUCGCAUGACGUUUCGUUGAAAGACGGCGCAAGCUGUCGCUACAGGAUGGGCCCGCGGCGCAUUAGCUAGUUGGUGAGGUAACGGCUCACCAAGGCGACGAUGCGUAGCCGACCUGAGAGGGUGAUCGGCCACACUGGGACUGAGACACGGCCCAGACUCCUACGGGAGGCAGCAGUAGGGAAUCUUCCGCAAUGGACGAAAGUCUGACGGAGCAACGCCGCGUGAGCGAAGAAGGCCUUCGGGUCGUAAAGCUCUGUUGUUAGGGAAGAACAAGUAACGCAGUAACUGGCGUUACCGUGACGGUACCUAACGAGAAAGCCACGGCUAACUACGUGCCAGCAGCCGCGGUAAUACGUAGGUGGCAAGCGUUGUCCGGAAUUAUUGGGCGUAAAGCGCGCGCAGGCGGUUCCUUAAGUCUGAUGUGAAAGCCCACGGCUCAACCGUGGAGGGUCAUUGGAAACUGGGGGACUUGAGUGCAGAAGAGGAGAGCGGAAUUCCACGUGUAGCGGUGAAAUGCGUAGAGAUGUGGAGGAACACCAGUGGCGAAGGCGGCUCUCUGGUCUGUAACUGACGCUGAGGCGCGAAAGCGUGGGGAGCAAACA
Molecule: ribosomal RNA, 765 nt
Filed under: uncultured Anoxybacillus sp.
Lineage: Bacteria; Bacillati; Bacillota; Bacilli; Caryophanales; Anoxybacillaceae
Description: bacterial SSU rRNA
Rfam family: Bacterial small subunit ribosomal RNA
Source: RNAcentral